GGAAUGAGAAAGCUCUAGUAAGAAACUACAAACACGGAUUCUCAGGCUUCGCAGCUCAUCUAUCAAAAGAAGAAGCAAACUCAAUUGCUCAACAACCUGGUGUUGUUUCUGUCUUCCCUGAUCCCAUUCUCAACCUUCACACUACACGUUCAUGGGAUUUCCUCGACUUACAAACUCAUGUCAAAAUCAACACUCACUCAGAUUCUUCUUCUUCUUCUUCAUCCAACGUCGUAAUUGGCAUACUAGACACAGGUUGUAUAAGAUACAAUGUUAGUUAAUUAGAGUAAUUAGUAUGUGAUUAAUAUUGUUUUUAAUAUGUUGGUUAAAAGUUAGGAGUAUUUAAGUAUUGAUAUAAAAAAAGAAUAUAUUCAGGGAUAUGGCCAGAAGCAGCAAGUUUUUCAGACAAGGGAAUGGAUCCUAUACCAGCCAGUUGGAAAGGCAGUUGCAUGAAUUCAAAAGACUUCAACUCAUCCAACUGUAACAGGUAAAUAACUUUUCACACCCAAAAGCAUAUAGUAAAAAACAUAGAUGAAUUAAAUGUUAUUCGAAUAUGCAUUAGGAAAAUAAUAGGAGCAAGGUGUUAUUACCAUGAAAGUGAAGGAGACGAUAGCACGGCAAGGGAUAUAGUUGGACAUGGGACCCACACAGCAUCGACGGCGGCAGGGAUCCCCGUGAGUGAUGCGUCUUACUACGGUGUGGCAUCAGGGACAGCAAAAGGUGGGUCCCCUGAAUCAAGGCUAGCAAUAUACAAAGUGUGCUUUAAAGAGUUUGGGUGUUCUGGAUCCGCCAUCCUUGCGGCGUUUGAUGAUGCAAUUUAUGAUGGUGUGGAUGUACUUUCGGUUUCGCUUGGAGAACAUUCAUACGAUUUGACAACCGAUCCGGUUGCAAUAGGAGCUUUCCACGCAGUUGAACGUGGCAUUCUCGUUGUUUGCUCCGCGGGGAAUUCAGGACCCCACAACAGAACGGUUCUUAACGAUGCUCCUUGGAUUUUUACUGUUGGAGCUACCACUAUUGACCGUGAUUUGCAGUCUAAUGUUCUUUUGGGUAGUAAUAAAGUUAUCAAGGUACAUUUUAUAACGCUCAUUAUGCAAUUUUCAAAUUGGUACAUGAGUUAUGGCACAUGUGUUGAUGCAUGGUAAUUAAUUGUCAUACUUCAGGGUCGAGCCAUUAAUUUCUCCCCACUUUCAAAAUCUGCUGAUUAUCCAUUGGUAUACGGCUACUCUGCCAAGACGAGUUCUAGUGACUUAGAUGAAGCUAGGUAUGUAUGCAAAAUUGACAAAUAAUAAAAUUAAGAUUUUGAAGUUGGACAGUAACAUCUUUUUUUUUUGUGUGAAAUGCAGGCAGUGUUACGAAAAUUCUUUAGAUGAAACAAAAGUGAAAGGAAAGAUUGUCGUUUGCGAUGGCAUAGAUGACUAUAAUUUAGCCUUCAACAAAACUAACACGGUGCAAAAGGUGGGUGGAAUAGGUAUUAUUCAUAUUACUGACCAAGAUGGAGGAGAUGCAAUAUAUUAUGGUGACUUUCCAUCAACUGAAGUAAUUCCAAAAGAUGCUGCCACAAUCCUCCAGUAUAUCAAUUCAACCAGGUAACCAUUUUUUAAGUUUUUCUCAUGACAAAUAAACUUAGUAAACAAUCUUACUAAUUUAUAACCAAACAAUGUUUAUUUUAGAAUUUGACUAAACUAGAUAUUAGUCCCUAAAAAUGCGAAACUCGUCACUUGUCACUAAAUGUGUUGAAAUUAUAAACACUAGCGUCUAUGCUAAUUUGUCUGCAUUUGUAUUGCGCUAACAUAUGUCAAUCAUUAACAAUAAUUUUUUGUAACUUUUUUUUUUUAAUUUUAAAUUUGUGCCAAUUAAAUGAGUGAAUUUGGUUAAAUAUGAUUAAUAAAAAUUGAAUAUUCACGUUAAUGUUAUUGUAUUUUUACAUAUAAUAAUCUGAAGCAAUCCAGUGGCAACAAUUCUACCAACAGUUACAGUCUUGGAUUAUAAACCUGCACCUAUGGUGGCAAUGUUUUCAUCUAGAGGGCCUUCAUACCUUUCAAAGAAUAUUCUCAAGGUUAGCCUAAUAAUAAUACCAUAAACUUUAUAAUAUCAAUGCUUGCUCAACACUAAACAAGACCAGUUUCUUUGUGUGUAGCCUGAUAUUGCAGCACCAGGUGUUGGUAUUCUUGCAGCAUGGUUUGGCAAUGACACGAGCGAGGUUCCAAAAGGUCAAAAGCCCUCACCAUUUAAAAUUGUCUCAGGGACUUCCAUGUCAUGCCCGCAUGUUUCAGGCCUUGCAGCCAGCAUCAAAGCUCGAAAUCCUUCAUGGAGUAUCUCUGCAAUCAGAUCAGCCAUCAUGACAUCAGGUCAGGCUUUUCAUUUUUACACAAAUGAAUCAUCAAUUUAGUCUCCAAGUAUUGUAUAGUUCAAUCCUAAAAAUUCUAAAAUGAUUUCUGAAACAAAAAAUUAUCGACCACACCAGUCAUUUUAAGUCAAUUGAUUAGGUCUUUAAAAAUUGUCCCACAUGCAGAGACUGAUGCGAUCAAAGAUUUUUAAAUUUUAUAGAUCAUUUUAAAUUUCGCCAAUUUAACUACUACAAUUUCACAUAUUAGAUUGAUUAUUCACUUAGGGGUAAGAUCUUCUCCAUUUGUCACUAUUUCCAUUUCAUCAAUUACUGCAGUUUUUGAUGUAUAAAUGCACAUGUUUUGAAUAUUGUGUCAUUUAUCUUGUAUAAUUAAACUUUUAUACACUCAACAUUAGCAACGGAGCUUUCAAUUUCUUUUUUUGAGAAAUGAGAGGAUCCCUGCACAUUCACUCCAGGUAAUGUAAUCCUAGGUUAGAUAUGAUUAUAAUAUCUAUCUAGCAACUCAUAAGCUCCAAUUUUUCUAAAUGCAGCAAAUCAAAUUAACAAUAUGAAUGCUCCAAUUACAACGGAUUCAGGAUCAGUUGCAACACCCUAUGACUUUGGAGCAGGGGAAAUAACAACAUCUGAACCAUUUCAACCCGGGCUAGUUUAUGAAACCACCACCGUUGACUACUUGAAUUACUUGUGUUACCUUGGAUUCAAUAUAAACACAAUUAAGGUUAUCUCCAAAACUAUCCCAAAUAGUUUCAGUUGCCCCAAGGAUUCAACUAAUGAUCAUAUUUCCAACAUCAACUACCCUUCCAUAGCAAUCUCCAACUUCAAUGGGAAAGGAACCGUGAAUGUGACUAGAACUGUUACCAACAUUGGUGAAGAGGAUGAAACUGUCUACACUCCUAUCAUCGAUGCUCCGAUUGGGGUGGAUGUUAAGUUGAUUCCAGAUAAACUUCAAUUUAAAAAAAGUAUAAAGAAAUUGAGCUUCAAAGUUGUUUUCUCGUCGACUUCAACCUUGGAGGAAGAUCUGUUUGGAUCCAUUACCUGGAGUAAUGGUAAACAUAGUGUUCGAAGUCCUUUUGUAUUAGCUAUUUAGCUAAAUUUAAAGAAAUAUGAAUAAAUGCAAGCUCAUUUCUUGUAAAUUCCUACUCAUGUGUUGUUAAUGUUAUUUACCCUUUUGUUCUAACUGACACUACACUACGAGUUAAAUUUAUGUGAUUUUCAUAGAUUUUAAGUAAGUCGAAGUAAUUUUAGGCAACUUAUUUUUUAUGGGAAAAUGUAAACCAAAAGUAAAAUUGUUUGUUUGCAUAGAUAUUACUAGUGUUUUAAAUUGUAACUCUUGGUUAGGAUAUACUUUGAACAACCUAUGAUAAAUGUAAAGUUAGCCUCAAAAUUAAUCUUAAAAGCCAUAAUAUAUGUCAUAGACUCAUUGUUAUGCUGCCAACAUCAUUUCCAAUUACAAUAUUUAUGAUCGUUAUAUUAUUACUUCUUCUUCUCGUAUGAUCAAUUUUACUGGAUAGAGUUGAACUGCCUCCACAUUAACAUGCGAUUUAGUAACUAGUUCUCGUUCUUCUAUUUUCUUCCAUGUUUGUUGAAUUUCCUUAAAAGAUUGAAAUUCCGCAUUAGGUUUAAUAGCGAGUUCUCAUUCUUCUUUUACUCGUUAUUCUAUUUUCUUCCAUUUCUAUUGGAUUUCCAUAAAGCCAUAUGGAUAAAUCAUAUUUAACUUCUAAAAUUUUAAAUUAUUCUUUAUCAGACAAAAAAAUUACUUUUUAUUUUUCGAAAUAUGCUCUUAACAAUUUACUUUAAUUGCGAUAAGAAAAAAGUCCGUUGCACUAUUUAUUUGUCACUUUCAAUAUAAAAUUCACUUUCAAACUAAAAAGAAUAAACUAAUAGUAGUUUUUUUUUCAAUUAUAUUUUCUUGGCUGUUUUGCAUGAACAAAGUCUUAUAAUAUUUGAUUUAAGUAAUUGAUAAAAAAUAAAUAAAGAAAAAUAAAUUUAAUAAUAUUAAUAAAUUUUACUUGUUAAUAUUAAUAAAUAAAGAAAAAUAAAUUUAAUAAUAUUAAUGACACGAAAUAUCACUAGCAGUCAAUGGAGCAAAAUAUGAACAAAAUAUUUUAUAAUUUAUUGUAUAAAUAUAUAUGAAUAAAAUAUAUUUUGUGGGUUUCAAAACACAUUAGUUAAAAUAUUUUCAAAACAAAAUAUGAACACAUUAGUUUCAAAACAUAUGAAAAUAUUUUGUAAAAUACAUUAGUUGUAGUUUUCAAAACAAUGGCACACAUUUAAAAUUGUUUGUUUUUAAUGCAUAAAUACAUGUGAAAAGUAUAAUACACUAAUUAUAAAUAACUAUUCAAAUAUACAAAUACUUAUAACUCAUCAAAUAGAUCAAUGAUUAAAAAACAAAAAAAUAAUUAAAAAAGAUUAUCAUUCUCAAAACCGUUUUGUUUUUUUUGCAAAGACAGAGAAACUUUCAUUCAAAUUAACCUCUACAAACACAAGGUGUGCAUACUAGGAAAAUACAUACUGUUAAAAUCCAAUUCAAUCACUAAUUACAACCACUCAAUACUAUCUAAAAUAAAACACAAAUAAAAUUCUAUUAGACCAUUCAAAAUCCAAAUAAACUUUAUUACCAUGCUCUUACCCGAUUCAAAAUUUAGGCACAAUAGCUCAUACUUCCCUUCACUUAAUUUUAGAUAACACUUCAAUUAUUAACUGUUUUUUUUCUUUUUCGAUUUGGUCAUUUAUUUAAUUUUAUUACAAAAAUUCAAAAAAUAUAUACAAUAAAAAUAUGAGUUUAUUUGAAUAUUUGAGUUAUAAAUUUUAUGAAAUUUAUAUUAUAUGGAAGAUGAUAAUUAAUUUUAUGAAUUUUAUUUGAAAAUUUUGAUGAAUUUUUUUUAAAAAAUGAUAACAUUAUUAAUAUUUUAAAACACAAAAGAUCAAAUUGUUUACUUAAAAUUAAAUAAAUGACUAAAUUAGGGAGAGAAAAAAAUAAAUGACUGAAGUGUUAUCUGAAGUUAAGUUAAAGACCACAAGAACAAUUAUGCCAAAACUUUAUUAUACAAAUUAUAACGGCCACAUAUAAAACAAAUUUUUUUUGUUUAUAAUUUCAACGAGAACAAAAUAAUAAUUACAAUAUUAAGUCCACAAAAAUUAUAUGGAUAAAAUAGUUAUUAUUUAGAUAAACCACCAUUUAAGUCUUGGAAAAUAUAAUAUGUUAUAUUUUGGUCUAAGUUAAUCAUUGAAUCAUUAAAAUGUCUAUCAGUUUAGUCUAUGAUGUUACAAUGGUCAUUGAUCUAUUUUAACAUUAAAUUAUAUCUUUAAAGAACUUUUAUAAUAAUAAAAUUGUAUCUUUCAGAUAUUAUUUUGAUUAUUCAUAUAUUAAUUUGGUUUUUUUUUUAUUGAAUCAAGAAUGAAAUCAGAGUCUUAUAUAUUUUACUAAAAUUGCAGUUUAUCAAUUUUUCUUUUAUGUAUUUUUUCAUUACUUAAUUAGAUGAUUUUGAAGAUUGCAUUUAUCAUUUAUAUCAACCAUAUUUUAUAUUUUUUUCUUCCAUAUUUUACAAUUAAAUUUAUUUUCUAAACUAUUUAUAUAUCGUCUAUCUUCGUAUAAUAAUUAAAGUCGCGUGACUUAUGCGAAUGCAUGUAUAUUUUACUAGUUACUCUUCAUAAAUAAUUUUAACAAGUGCUCGUUUAGACCGAAUUCAAUAAACUAGUGGAUAUGUUUUACCAAAAUGCUUGUCUAGUAAGAUAACGAUAAAUCUCCACAAAUUAGAAUACAGCAUGAUUAAUUUCUAGUUUGAUCACUCUUCCAUUCUCAUAAGACAAUAAUUAGACACAAUAAUUCACGCACAAGCCCACUUACAUGUCAUAAUAUAGUGAAGGUCAAUUAUGUGUGACUGAGCUUGUUAUAAUUUUUAAUUAGAAUUAACAUACCCACAAUUUUUACCAAGACAUUGAAUUAUUCAGACUAAUUGCAAAGAUAUGGAAACUUAAUCGCUGAUCAGCUGAAUCACAUGGUGUUAUUGUUAUCAUAUAUGAUGUUGCUUUAGUUUCUAAAAGAUUCCUAUAAUUAGAGAAUUUAAUUUAUGACAAGGCAAUACAUGCAGCAAGAGUUUAUAUUUUUUCUUCUUUUAAUAUGAUUUUCAUUGAUUGUUAUACGGUUUUGUGUUUUCUUCUUCUAAAAUACUCUUAUCGUAAUUGUGUUUAUAAAUCACAAUUUAAAACUAUAUGUUCAUAUAUAGUAUAUUCCCAAGCAUUGAUUACUAUAAUUUACAUUGUGUAUUCAGAAUUCGUUGCAUUUUAUCACAUGUAAAACUAACUAGUUGCUACCUCCACUUAUUGAGUGGUAGUUAUAUAUCGACUUAUCGUAUAUAUUUGUGGUUAUAGCACAAAAAAUAGUAUAUAUUUACGCAGCUUUAUAUCUUCAAAUGGGGCACUUUGCGUGGAUGAAAUGCUUCAUGCCAAUUUGCAAUGCGCAUAAGCAAUACGCAUGCAUCAACUCCACAAUAGCAUAAAUUAUAGAACUUUUAAUGGAUAUGUAUUAUCGUGUAAAAAAUAUCACACAUACAUUGAAUUAUAUCUCAUCGUUAUGUCAUUAAGUUAUAUUUGUUUUUUAAAAAGUCUUCAUAAAAUCUAUAUGGUAAAAUUUGAUGAAAUGUUAUGUAAAAUAUUUUAAGGGUUUAUAGGAUAUGUAUUGUCAUGUGAGUCAUUGAUCGUGUAAUAUUAUUGAUCGAUGAAAAUUACAAUUAUAUGGUAAAAUAAUAAAAUCAAUCAUUUUUAUUAAAUAAUACAAAUGUAAAAUUGAUUUAUACCACUUUUUUUAUGUAUAUUUUCUUUUUAUGAUGAAAAGGGGAUAAGUCCAAGCAAUACAAGAAUCAUCAUAUGUCAAUAAAACAUUGAAAUAAAAGAAGAAAAAUCCUCAAAACCCUCUAGCUUUGAAUGUGAUAAAUCAACAAUAUAUGACGAAAGCACCUACAAUAAUUGAUCAUGAAUACGAUCAUAAGAACCAAUAUACACUCUGAUUUUACAAUAAUUUAUGCUCAAAAAAUUACUCUGACACAUUAAAUUAAUUAAUUCAUCUCCGAUGGAAGUUGCUUCCACUAAAAAGAAACGAAACCAAAUUAAUAGCCACCACACAUUGGGCUAUAAGAAAUAUGAUGCCUAUUUAGACCGGUCAUAUAUUAUGUCAAUAUUGUGGGAUGAUUUGUUGAAAAUAUAAUCAUUUAAAGUUAUUUGUAAAAUCUAUUUAAUAAUUUUUUCAGAAAUAUUGAAUUGAAAGAAUUGAGUAAUUAUUAAAUGUUAAUAUUAAAAAUGUUACAAUAAUUUAUUGGGCUUAUGUAAUUAGGCCUUUUCUAUUUUUAAGUUAGUAGUUAAGUCCUUUUAUGUUUCACUAUUUACUCUCCUUGUAAUUCUUGUAUUUACAAAAAAAUUUUGUAUUCUAUAUUGUUAGAUAAUGUUAUUAUAUAUUAGUAGUAAAAGUAUUUUAGACAUUUCUAUUCUUUUAUAUAUAUACUAAUUGUAAUCCUAUUAACUUAAAUUUGGUUCAUUCUAUGUUAUGAAACCCUAGAGUGGUUGCCUCUCUUCUUCCUUUUUUCAUUGUUAACAUGAUAUCAAAGAGCUUUGGUUGAUUUUGGGAUCUAUUAUAAAGAAGAGAGAGAUUAUUUUGAUAGGAAAGACAACCACCAAAAGAGAAAAGAGAAUAGUAACCCUAUUCUCGAUUUUGUUAAAUCAGUCUCACAAAAACAUUGAUUGCGCAUUCGUUAACCGUUGGAUCGGACUGCUUUUUUGGACAGAAGGUUCGCAACAUUCAGGUCUUCGUCUUCAAUGGUCGGAUCAGCGAAACACCGUCUGUAGGAGGAGAAAUCGGGCUCGUACAUCACCAGAUUAUCUCGAAUUUAUUUUGUCUCAGUGAUUGUGUUUGUCGUAUUUUCCUGUCAUUAUUUGUUAUGGCUGGUGCUAAGGAUGAUUCUCUUCAAGCACAUUGGAAAAUACAUUGUCCAAAAUUGUGGAGAGAAGAAUUUUAGGGGGCCAUCGUCCAAUGUUGUUGCUUCUGCUCCUUCUACCAUUGGUUUGGCUCUAGUUCUGGUUCUGUAUACUCAUCUGAGAUUGUUUUCCAAAUAUCUGAUAUUGCAGAACAACUUCAAAAACUUCUUGUCACUCAAUCACAUGCUAUGUUUUCCACCUCUUCUAAAGGUUUGAACUUCUCUAGUAUGUUAGAUAUAUCUCCUUCUAUAUGGAUUCUUGAUUCAUGAGCAUUUCAUCAUAUGACAUACGAUGAUAAAUCUUUUGUGUCUGUGAAACAUGUCUCGUAUGUGUCAGUUAUGACUGCUGAUGGCACUCAUAUGCCACUAGCAGGCGUUGGUUCUGUCUCCACACAUAACAUGUCUCUUUCUGAUGUUUGUUUGUUAUGAUCAGUAUUAAGGAAUUAAUUUUGGUUUGGUUCACAUGUUUUCAAUUGUUGUGGUUCUUUUUUGAUUUGGUUGGUAAUUUAAUUGUUCGUUUCUCCUAUCUCUUUGGUUGUUUUCUUCUGUGUUGUUGCUCUCUCUUUUGCUUCUUUUGUUUGAUUGUUCCUCUCUCUAGUGAUUUGCUUUGUUGCUUCUCUCCAUAUUGAUUGUUCUAUUUGUUUGCGCUUCUCUCACGUGGUUCAUCUAUUUGGUUGUUUUUCUCUUUGUUUAGUUUGAUUUGGUGUAGUUUAGUUUGGUUUGAUAUGAUUUAGUUUUGUUUGGUUCUAUUUGGUUUGGUUUGUUUUGAUUUGGUUUCGUGGUGCUACUUCUUUGGUUGUUCCUAUCUGUUGAUUUUGAUAUUGGUUGAUUUGAGCUUUAGUUUGAGGGGUUGUUUCAAUAUUAGGAAAUUUUAGCGGAGAUGUUAAGUAGAAUGUUAUUGGGCUUUUAUAUUAUAUAUUAAGGUUUGUUUUGAUAUGGUUGUUGCUCCUUUUUUUUUAUCGCUCCUUUUUCAGUUUGAUUUUUUGUUGGCUUGGUUCUUCUCUUGAUUGUGAUUAUUUGAUAUGAUUUGUUGGUUUGGUUUCUCUCUUUAUUGUGAUUGUUUGGUAUAGCUAAUGAUCAUCUCUUUGGCUUCUGCUUCUUCUUUCGUUGCUUCUCUCUUUGUUGGUUCUUCUCUUUGAUUGUUGCUUCUUCUUUGGUGACAUCCCUCUUGUGCCCCCGGCUGUCCAACCACCUCCUGCAAUUGUUGAUCCUCUUCGUUACCCCUCUCGUAAACUUUGUCUGAGCCCUCUUCCUAUAAAGAGGUUGAUCUUGAUCCUCUUUGGCAGCAGACUACGGCAGAAGAACUAUCUGCAUUGCACAAAAUCAAUACUUGGAAAUUAGUACCCCUUCCUCCUGAAAAACGUGUUAUUGAGUCUCGUUGGGUAUACAAGAUCAAAAGUAAAUCUAAUGGGUCAGUUGAGUGCUACAAAGCACGUCUUGUUGCUAAGGAUUUCUCUCAACACUAUGGUAUGGAUCAUGAAGAAACUUUUGCUCUUGUAGCCAAGAUGACCAGUAUUCGUACUAUUCUUCUUUACAGAUUGCUGAUUUGUUCACAAAGAUGCAUUCCAUUAAACUUUUUCGUUUUUUAGUUGACAAACUCUCGAUGUUCCAUGUUAAUGCAUUGUGAGUUUGAUGGGAGAUGUUAGAUAAUGUUAUUAUAUAUUAGUAGUAAGGGUAUUUUAGACAUUUCUAUUCUUUUAUAUAUAUACUCAUUGUAAUCCUAUUAACUUAAGUUUGGUUCGUUCUAUGUUAUGAAACCCUAGAGUGAUUGCCUCUCUUCUUCCUCUUUUCAUUGUUAACAUAUAUAAUUAUUUAUAUUGUUAAAAUAUAUAUAUAUAUAUAUAUAUAUAUAUAUAUAUAUAUAUAUAUAUAUAUAUAUAUUUUGUGUGCAAAUUUCUGAUUUAUAUCUUAAUUACCGUAAAUCAUAUAAUUGGUUGCUGACACAAGAAAGCACCAACUUAAUUAUUAUUAACUUAAAAUAGACCCAUUGCUUCUUAUAUAUAUAUAUGUGUUCUAGAGUUACCAAGCAUGGUCAUCAGAAACUAAUUGAACACAAAACAGUUCAUUAAGAGAACAUAACGAUGAAGAUGAAAGGAAAUCCAAUUUUAUUGAUAGUAGUAUUAAAUUUGUUUGGUGUAAUUUGUGUUGGAGAAUCAAGAAAAUCAUCAGGUGAUAUAAGUGAAACAGAGAAUGAGAAGAAAGUAUAUAUUGUGUAUAUGGGAGCAGCUGAUUCAUCAAAUGCUUCCCUUCGCAAUGAUCAUGCUCAUCUAUUAAACAGAGUGUUAAGAAGGUAAUGAAUGAAUUAAAGCAUUAAUUGCAUGUGGAAUGAAUGAAUGAAUGAUAAUAGUAAUAAUAAUUGAAAUGUGAAAUGAAUAGGAAUGAGAAAGCUCUAGUAAGAAACUACAAACACGGAUUCUCAGGCUUCGCAGCUCAUCUAUCAAAAGAAGAAGCAAACUCAAUUGCUCAACAACCUGGUGUUGUUUCUGUCUUCCCUGAUCCCAUUCUCAACCUUCACACUACACGUUCAUGGGAUUUCCUCGACUUGCAAACUCAUGUCAAAAUCGACACUCACUCAGAUUCUUCUUCUUCUGCUUCUUCUUCUUCAUCCAACGUCGUAAUUGGCUUACUAGACACAGGUUAUUGUUUAUUGAUUAAAAAAAUUUACGUUAUAAUUUAUAGAGGACGGAGGCAUAAUUAUUUGUUGAUAUAAAAAAAAAUGAUACAUAUGUAUGUACGUGUUAAAUAACAUAGAUUCAGUAAGUGAUCCUUAUCAUGAAUUAAUUUGAUUGGUAGUGGAUUGAUUGGUUUAAUCAUUUAAUUAAUGAAAUGAAAGAAUGAAUAUAUUCAGGUAUAUGGCCAGAAGCAGUAAGUUUUUCAGACAAGGGAAUGGAUUCAAUUCCAUCCAGUUGGAAAGGCAGUUGCAUGAAAUCAAUUGAUUUUAACUCAUCCAACUGUAACAGGUAAAUAAAAAAUACAAGCACCAGGGUUGUUUAUUAUUAUUUGUGUUGUGGGGUCCAUUAGAUUAACAGCUGGCAUAAAUGUAAUUUUAAUUUUGAAUAGGAAGUUAAUAGGAGCAAGGUAUUACCCAAACCCUGACCAGAAAGAUGACCCGGACAACACGCCAAGGGAUACAUAUGGACAUGGGACCCACACGGCGUCGACGGCGGCAGGU
This 11482-nucleotide long non-coding RNA is filed under the name Cicer arietinum (chickpea). Its description in RNAcentral is "long non-coding RNA (CARI_LNC001556)". Lineage: Eukaryota; Viridiplantae; Streptophyta; Magnoliopsida; Fabales; Fabaceae. The record is from RNAcentral.